Non-coding RNA from Acanthosepion pharaonis, 107 nucleotides. Lineage: Eukaryota; Metazoa; Mollusca; Cephalopoda; Sepiida; Sepiidae. The record is from the annotation of a GenBank genome assembly.
ACAGCCAUAUUACAUUGAAACCCCAGUUCCUGUAUGAUCACCAAACUUAAGCAAUGUUGAGCCUGAUCAGUAUCUAGGUGGGUGACCGCUUAGGAAUACCAGGUGCU